Molecule: ribosomal RNA, 405 nt
Filed under: uncultured bacterium
Lineage: Bacteria
Description: partial 16S ribosomal RNA
Rfam family: Bacterial small subunit ribosomal RNA
Source: RNAcentral
AUUGAACGCUGGCGGCAGGCUUAACACAUGCAAGUCGAACGAGUGGCGGACGGGUGCGUAAUGCUUGGGCAUCUAGCUUAUGGAGGGGGAUAACUACGGGAAACUGUAGCUAAUCCCGCGUACCAUAGGAUGAGCCCAAGUGGGAUUAGGUAGUGGGUGAGGUAAAGGCUCCCCAAGCCGACGAUCUCUAGCUGGUCUGAGAGGAUGACCGGCCACACUGGGACUGAGACACGGCCCAGCCUCCUACGGGAGGCAGCAGUGGGGAAUAUUGCGCAAUGGGGGCAACCUGACGCAGCCAUGCCGCGUGAAUGAAGAAGGCCUUCGGGUUGUAAAGUUCUUUCGGUAGCGAGGCGUUAACUACAGAAGAAGCACCGGCUAACUCCGUGCCAGCAGCCGCGGUAAUAC